This 335-nucleotide ribosomal RNA is filed under the name uncultured Anaerolineaceae bacterium. Its description in RNAcentral is "bacterial SSU rRNA". It matches the Rfam family "Bacterial small subunit ribosomal RNA", at positions 1036 to 1382 of the family's 1533-position model. The record is from RNAcentral. Lineage: Bacteria; Bacillati; Chloroflexota; Anaerolineae; Anaerolineales; Anaerolineaceae.
AGGUGCUGCAUGGCUGUCGUCAGGCUCGUGUCGUGAGAUGUUCGGUUAAGUCCGCUAACGAGCGCAACCCUCGCUGUGUGUUACAAGUGUCACACGGAACUGCCGGUCAUAAACCGGAGGAAGGUGGGGAUGACGUCAAGUCAGCAUGGCCUUUAUAUCCUGGGCUACACACACGCUACAAUGGGAAGGGACAAUAGGUUGCGAAGCCGCGAGGCGGAGCCAAUCCAGCAAAACUUCCCUCAGUUCAGAUUGCAGGCUGCAACUCGCCUGCAUGAAGUUGGAGUUGCCAGUAAACGCAGGUCAGCCAUACUGCGUUGAAUACGUUCCCGGGGCUU